RNAcentral lists this ribosomal RNA (1209 nucleotides) under metagenome. RNAcentral describes it as "bacterial SSU rRNA". It matches the Rfam family "Bacterial small subunit ribosomal RNA", at positions 256 to 1477 of the family's 1533-position model. The record is from RNAcentral.
GGUAACGGCUCACCAAGGCAACGAUGGUUAGGGGGUCUGAGAGGAUGAUCCCCCACACUGGUACUGAGACACGGACCAGACUCCUACGGGAGGCAGCAGUGAGGAAUAUUGGGCAAUGGGCGCAAGCCUGACCCAGCCAUGCCGCGUGCAGGAUGAAGGCGCUAUGCGUUGUAAACUGCUUUUGUUCGGGAAGAAAUCCAUCUACGUGUAGGUGGUUGACGGUACCGAAAGAAUAAGCAUCGGCUAACUCCGUGCCAGCAGCCGCGGUAAUACGGAGGAUGCGAGUGUUAUCCGGAUUCAUUGGGUUUAAAGGGUGCGUAGGCGGAAUAUUAAGUCAGUGGUGAAAUCCUGCAGCUUAACUGUAGAACUGUCAUUGAUACUGGUAUUCUUGAAUGCAGUUGAGGUAGGCGGAAUGUGUAAUGUAGCGGUGAAAUGCUUAGAUAUUACACAGAACACCGAUUGCGAAGGCAGCUUACUAAACUGUGAUUGACGCUGAGGCACGAAAGCGUGGGGAGCAAACAGGAUUAGAUACCCUGGUAGUCCACGCCGUAAACUAUGAUUACUCGCUGUUGGCGAUAUACAGUCAGCGGCUGAGCGAAAGCAUUAAGUAAUCCACCUGGGGAGUACGAUCGCAAGGUUGAAACUCAAAGGAAUUGACGGGGGCCCGCACAAGCGGAGGAACAUGUGGUUUAAUUCGAUGAUACGCGAGGAACCUUACCUGGGCUUAAAUGUAGAGCGACAGACCGGGAAACUGGUCCUUCUUCGGACGAUCUACAAGGUGCUGCAUGGUUGUCGUCAGCUCGUGCCGUGAGGUGUCGGGUUAAGUCCCAUAACGAGCGCAACCCUUAUCGUUAGUUGCCAACGGGUAAUGCCGGGGACUCUAGCGAAACUGCCGGUGUAAACCGUGAGGAAGGUGGGGAUGACGUCAAAUCAGCACGGCCCUUAUGUCCAGGGCGACACACGUGUUACAAUGGCCGGUACAGAGGGCAGCUACCUGGUGACAGGAUGCUAAUCUCGAAAACCGGUCUCAGUUCGGAUUGAAGUCUGCAACUCGACUUCAUGAAGCUGGAUUCGCUAGUAAUCGCGCAUCAGCCAUGGCGCGGUGAAUACGUUCCCGGGCCUUGUACACACCGCCCGUCAAGCCAUGGAAGCCGGGAGUACCUGAAGUCCGUAACCGCAAGGAGCAGCCUAGGGUAAAACUGGUGACUG